GACGAACGCUGGCGGCGUGCUUAACACAUGCAAGUCGAACGGUGAAGCUCCAGCUUGCUGGAGUGGAUCAGUGGCGAACGGGUGAGUAACACGUGAGCAACCUGCCCCUGACUCUGGAAUAAGCGCUGGAAACGGCGUCUAAUACUGGAUACGAGAAGGGUCCGCAUGGGCACUUUCUGGAAAGUUUUUCGGUUGGGGAUGGGCUCGCGGCCUAUCAGCUUGUUGGUGAGGUAAUGGCUCACCAAGGCGACGACGGGUAGCCGGCCUGAGAGGGCGACCGGCCACACUGGGACUGAGACACGGCCCAGACUCCUACGGGAGGCAGCAGUGGGGAAUAUUGCACAAUGGGCGAAAGCCUGAUGCAGCGACGCCGCGUGAGGGAUGACGGCCUUCGGGUUGAAAACCUCUUUCAGCAGGGAAGAAGCGAAAGUGACGGUACCUGCAGAAGAAGCACCGGCUAACUACGUG
RNAcentral lists this ribosomal RNA (468 nucleotides) under uncultured bacterium. Its description in RNAcentral is "partial 16S ribosomal RNA". It matches the Rfam family "Bacterial small subunit ribosomal RNA", at positions 28 to 507 of the family's 1533-position model. The record is from RNAcentral.